GAUGACCGCUGGCGGCGUGCCUAAUACAGGCAAGUCGAGCGAACGGAUGAUAGGCAUGCUUCCCUUAUGUUAGCGGCGGGCGGGUGUGUAGCACGCGGCAACCCUACCUAUGAGACCGGGAUAACUUCGGGAAUCCGGAGCUAAUACCGUAUUAUAUUUUGAACCGUAUGGUUCACAAGGGAAAGUCGGUCUUGCUGGCUCUUAUUGAUGUAUCCGCGCUGCAUUAGCUAGCAGGUAAGUUAACGGCUUACCAAGGCAACGAUGCAUAGCCGACCUGAGAGGAGGUUCGGCCACGCUGGAACUGAGACACGCUCCAGCCUCCUACGGCAGGCAGCAGUAGGGACUCUUACGCGAUGGGCGAGAGCCUGACGGAGCAGCGCCGCGUGAGUGAUGAGGGUCUUGCGAUCGUAAUACUCUGUUAUGAGGGAAGACCAGAUGUGUAAGUAACUGUGCACAUCUUGACGGUACCUAAUCAGAAAGCCACGGCUAACUCCUUG
Molecule: ribosomal RNA, 497 nt
Filed under: uncultured bacterium
Lineage: Bacteria
Description: partial 16S ribosomal RNA
Rfam family: Bacterial small subunit ribosomal RNA
Source: RNAcentral